CCUACGGGCGGCAGCAGUAGGGAAUUUUCGUCAAUGGGCGCAAGCCUGAACGAGCGAUGCCGCGUGAGUGAAGAAGGCCUUCGGUUCGUAAAGCUCUGUUGCGGGGGAAAAAAGGCAGCGUCAGGGAAUGGGUGCUGACUGAUGGUGCCCCGCCAGAAAGUCACGGCGAACUAAGUGCCAGCAGCCGCGGUAAUACGUAGGUGGCGAGCGUUAUCCGGAAGGAUUGGGCGUAAAGGGUGCGCAGGCGGUACUGCAAGUCUGGAGUGAAACGCAUGAGCUCAACUCAUGCAUGGCUUGGGAAACUGGACGACUGGAGAGCAGGAGAGGGCAGUGGAACUCCAUGUGUAGCGGUAAAAUGCGUAGAUAUAUGGAAGAACACCAGUGGCGAAGGCGGCCGCCUGGCCUGUUGCUGACGUUGAGGCACGAAAGCGUGGGGAGCAAACAGGAUUAGAUACCCUGGUAGUC
RNAcentral lists this ribosomal RNA (465 nucleotides) under uncultured bacterium. Its description in RNAcentral is "partial 16S ribosomal RNA". It matches the Rfam family "Bacterial small subunit ribosomal RNA", at positions 338 to 795 of the family's 1533-position model. The record is from RNAcentral.